Molecule: ribosomal RNA, 791 nt
Filed under: uncultured bacterium
Lineage: Bacteria
Description: bacterial SSU rRNA
Rfam family: Bacterial small subunit ribosomal RNA
Source: RNAcentral
GACUUCACGCUGGCGGCAUGCCUAAUCACAUGCAAGUCGAACGAAGCGCCCCAUUGAUCACUGAAUGAAGUUGGAUCGCUUGCUCAAAGAUGGAAUGACGUAGGAUUUGGAUUCUGCGCUUAGUGGCGAACGGGUGAGUAACACGUGGGUUUACUGCCUUCAAGCUGGGGAUAACAGCUAGAAAUGGUUGCUAAUACCGAAUGUGCUAGUAAUAGUAAAGAUGCCCUUAAAGCAUCACUUGAAGAUGGGCCUGCGGCGUAUUAGAUAGUUGGUGGGGUAAUGGCCUACCAAGUCAACGAUGCGUAACCGGACUGAGAGGUUGAACGGCCACACUGGGACUGAGACACGGCCCAAACUCCUACGGGAGGCAGCAGUGGGGGAUAUUGCACAAUGGAGGAAACUCUGAUGCAGCGACGCCGCGUGAGUGAAGAAGUAUUUCGGUAUGUAAAGCUCUAUCAGCAGGGAAGAAAGGCUCGUAAGAGAGAUGACGGUACCUGACUAAGAAGCCCCGGCUAACUACGUGCCAGCAGCCGCGGUAAUACGUAGGGGGCAAGCGUUAUCCGGAUUUACUGGGUGUAAAGGGAGCGCAGACGGUGAUGCAAGUUCUGAAGUGAAACCCCACGGCUCAACCGUGGGCUUGCUUUGGAAACUGUAUGACUAGAGUACUGGAGAGGUAAGCGGAAUUCCUAGUGUAGCGGUAAAAUGCGUAGAUAUUAGGAAGAACACCAGAGGCGAAGGCGGCUUACUGGACAGUUACUGACGUUGAGGCUCGAAAGCGUGGGGAGCAAACA